This 130-nucleotide microRNA precursor is filed under the name Gossypium raimondii (Peruvian cotton). RNAcentral describes it as "miR8764 stem-loop (gra-MIR8764)". The record is from miRBase by way of RNAcentral. Lineage: Eukaryota; Viridiplantae; Streptophyta; Magnoliopsida; Malvales; Malvaceae.
GUACUAAGGGUUAGAUUGCAUUUUACCCCUUUUACUGAAAAACAUGGGCCGGUUUGCUCUUUGAUUUUGUAUAGGGACUAAUUUGCUCUUUUUUUAAGUAAAGGGGCAAAAUGCAAUCAAACUUAGUACA